ACUUAAUUAGUUUAUUGAAUGUCAAAUUGUGAUUUUGAAGGAAGAUGUUAAGUA
RNAcentral lists this transfer RNA (54 nucleotides) under Lebertia trifurcilla. Its description in RNAcentral is "tRNA-His". The record is from RNAcentral. Lineage: Eukaryota; Metazoa; Arthropoda; Arachnida; Trombidiformes; Lebertiidae.